ACAUGAAGAGGUGCCCAAUGAGCACAAGACAAACCCUAGGCUGCCUGACCGCAGACCGCCCAGCACAGAGCAGGGGAAGGCACGACGCGGCUCAAAAGAAACAGGCAGAAAGCGACGGAGUUCAUCUUUCCCGCUGGAUCCCGCAGGACCAACCGGUCCGCCUUCGGGCUCGCUCCGCGCCAGUUCCGAUCGCGCACAUUUACUACGUCACGGCGUCCAGUCUCGCGGUAUCCUCCUGCCGCCGAGGCCCUUUCGCAAAAGUCUCGCGAAACCUGUUCCUCGGGCCCACGGCUCCGCGCUCGCCCUCCUCCACUCCGCCCCUACCCCGGCUUCUCCCUCACUCGCUCCCCGGGUCAGGAAAUUCCCCGCUCGGGUCCGGCAGGCGCGCCUCCUCCCUCCCAGUUCCGAGUUCAAACCGGAACUGGAAGUGUGGUGGGCGGGGCCCGGCGACGGAAAGCGCUGAGGAGCCGAAGCCGGGACUCGGCGGUGGCCCGGGUCGGUCCCGCGCCACGGAGCGCCGGGCGGCGGGGCUGCGGGGCUCCGGGCUGAAGGGCGCUGCGCGAGCCGGAGGGCGGGCGCGGCCCCCCGGGCGCCGCGGGGGAUCAUGUCGACAGCCUCCGCCGCCUCGUCCUCCUCCUCGUCUUCUGCCAGUGAGAUGAUCGAAGCGCCGUCGCAGGUCCUGAACUUCGAAGAGAUCGACUACAAGGAGAUCGAGGUGGAAGAGGUUGUCGGAAGAGGAGCUUUUGGAGUAGUUUGCAAAGCUAAGUGGAGAGCAAAAGAUGUCGCUAUUAAACAGAUAGAAAGUGAGUCUGAGAGGAAGGCUUUCAUUGUGGAGCUCCGGCAGUUGUCACGUGUGAACCAUCCUAACAUUGUCAAGUUGUAUGGAGCCUGCCUGAAUCCAGUAUGUCUUGUGAUGGAAUAUGCAGAGGGGGGCUCAUUGUAUAAUGUGCUGCAUGGUGCUGAACCAUUGCCUUACUACACUGCUGCUCAUGCCAUGAGCUGGUGUUUACAGUGUUCCCAAGGAGUGGCUUACCUGCACAGCAUGCAGCCCAAAGCGCUGAUUCACAGGGACCUCAAGCCUCCAAACUUGCUGCUGGUUGCAGGAGGGACAGUUCUAAAAAUCUGCGAUUUUGGUACAGCUUGUGACAUCCAAACACACAUGACCAAUAAUAAAGGGAGUGCUGCUUGGAUGGCGCCUGAAGUAUUUGAAGGUAGCAAUUACAGUGAAAAGUGUGAUGUCUUCAGCUGGGGUAUUAUCCUCUGGGAAGUGAUAACACGCCGGAAACCCUUCGAUGAGAUCGGUGGCCCAGCUUUCAGAAUCAUGUGGGCUGUUCAUAAUGGCACUCGACCACCACUGAUCAAAAAUUUACCUAAGCCCAUUGAGAGCUUGAUGACACGCUGUUGGUCUAAGGACCCAUCUCAGCGCCCUUCAAUGGAGGAAAUUGUGAAAAUAAUGACUCACUUGAUGCGGUACUUCCCAGGAGCGGAUGAGCCGUUACAGUAUCCUUGUCAGUACUCUGAUGAAGGGCAGAGCAACUCAGCCACCAGCACAGGCUCAUUCAUGGACAUUGCUUCUACAAAUACCAGUAAUAAAAGUGACACAAAUAUGGAACAGGUUCCUGCCACAAACGACACUAUUAAACGCUUGGAGUCAAAACUUUUGAAAAACCAGGCAAAGCAACAGAGUGAAUCUGGACGCCUGAGCUUGGGAGCCUCUCGUGGGAGCAGUGUGGAGAGCUUGCCCCCCACUUCCGAGGGCAAGAGGAUGAGUGCUGACAUGUCUGAAAUAGAAGCCAGGAUCGUGGCGACUGCAGCCUAUUCCAAGCCUAAACGGGGCCACCGUAAAACCGCUUCAUUUGGCAACAUUCUGGAUGUCCCUGAGAUCGUCAUAUCAGGUACCAUAGACCACCUGUGUUGGUGUAACGGCUGUGGAACUGGAUUCAUGAUCCCGGUAACGGGCAACCAAGGCGUAGAUCCAUCCAAGACUUGACUGUUACUGGGACAGAACCUGGUCAGGUGAGCAGCCGGUCAUCCAGCCCUAGUGUCAGAAUGAUCACUACCUCAGGACCAACCUCAGAGAAGCCAGCUCGCAGUCACCCGUGGACCCCUGAUGAUUCCACAGAUACCAAUGGCUCAGAUAACUCCAUCCCAAUGGCGUAUCUUACACUGGAUCACCAGCUACAGCCUCUAGCGCCGUGCCCAAACUCCAAAGAAUCCAUGGCAGUGUUCGAACAACAUUGUAAAAUGGCACAGGAGUAUAUGAAAGUUCAAACCGAAAUCGCAUUGUUACUACAGAGAAAGCAAGAACUAGUUGCAGAAUUGGACCAGGAUGAAAAGGACCAGCAAAAUACAUCUCGUCUGGUACAGGAACAUAAAAAGCUUUUAGAUGAAAACAAAAGCCUUUCUACUUAUUACCAGCAAUGCAAAAAACAACUAGAGGUCAUCAGAAGCCAACAGCAGAAACGACAAGGCACUUCAUGAUUCUCUGGGACCGUUACGUUUUAAAAUAUGCAAAGACCUUUUUUUAAGAGAAGACAAACCAUUAUAACAGUUCAUGAGUGUUAGCUUUUUGGCGUGUUCUGAAUGCCAAAUGCCUCUCUUUGCUGCAUUUGUUAUGUCAGUUACCUUUCUUCUUAUGGUGGAUAUAAAAUCCACUGUCGUGUUGCAGCAGAUGAUGGCACCUGUGGCUUGGGAAGGCGAGCGUGCUCAGCUUCAGAGCACAUGAAGUGAACCUGGCUGUAUGUGCAUGCUCCUGGAGUGAGCUACCUAACAGGAGGGGGUAGCACACUGGCUACUGUGUGCAGGCAUCAUCCUUUCUCUGUAGUAAAAGGUGGGACCUCAAGAAUUUUCUUCAAAGUGCUCAUCUCAAAAAUCUGAUUUUUUUCCCAGUAGAUGGUAUGCUCCAAUGUAAAGACAGGGUAUUAAAAUAACUUGUGGUACAUUACAGAGGGACAGAAUGUUGAGGCUGAGUUCAAAGACAGGGUUUGUGCCAACACAUCCUGGAUCAAUACUAACUGUAGUCCCACCUGUUACUAUUAAAGGUGAGUGGUGGCAGCUGUGCUUAAGGAGAGCAAGUUUACUGACUUUCGUGAGGUUGAGCAUCGUCUGUGAAAUAUGAAUGACAUGCUCUUUUUACACCCUAUGGAUUUUCAAUUCUGUGUGAAAACAGAAGCCUUUCUGACUUUUAAUAUUAGUAGCAGAUGAAAUUGAAAGAUGAUGAUGUAGCUUAAAUGAUCCUUCUUGUAACCAUUACUGAGUUGUUUUAUGAUAUAUUUGAAGAAAAUUGAAAAAUAAUAGAGACACAAAUCAUUGGCCCAGCUAAAGGAGGCUUGAGCUGAGCUAUCGGUCUGUUAUACCAAAUAAGGAACACAGCAGGCUAAUCAGGAGGCCCGAGUAAGGAAGGCAAAGGAGGAAAAUUAAACCCACUUUCGUAGCUACUCAGAGGACUUGAUUCCUCUGAAGUCCUUUCCUGAGUCUGUUGCCUUCCCAUGCUUUUAAGAGAAUUUGAACACUUACAAAGAGAAUAUUUAUAUUGUUAACAAUAAGUUUACUACCAACCUUCAAAAUAACUUAAAGGUAAUAAUAAAAUGCCAUUAAAAAAAUAAAUCCCUAAGAUCUAUUUUUUCAGUCCAUGUUAACACAUUUUGAUACCAGUGCAUGAAUGUCUUUUAAAUUAGAUGCCAUCAGCUUCGCUUUUAUAGUGUUCAUGUUUGUAAAGAGAACAUUUGGAAUGGAAAGAUGAUCGCUGUGGUACUUAGAUGUACAUCUCGCAUGUUCCUGCUCUGUUCCAGAUGAGCACGAGAAGCUAGCGAAGGUGUUCUUUAAGGCUAAGACAGAUAACCUUUUUCCUGUUAUUUUUUUCCUCUCUGAGUUUUAUAAUGAAUCCCUUCUGUAUACAGUGAAGGUAAGGGAGAGUUUAUAGCAAGAUGUGCCUUCCUCAAAACCUGUUAGUAGAAAGCUCCUGGGAGCUAAAUGUCUUCUUUCACUUAAAUAAAAAAGAUUAUAGAUAGCCUCAAACUCUAUUAGGUGACAUGAGUGCCGAGCUCAGCGUUAGUAGUGACAUAAAACUGACACAGAAGAUAGCUGUAGUCUGAGUCCAAGACCAACACCGCCUGCCACUGCUGCCUGUGCAGACAUCUGGCACUCCACAGGAGAGCCAUGGUCUCUGCUGUGCAGCAUGCUGAAAGCAUCUUGACUUCCCAGGAGAUUCCACAUUACAUGGAUGCAAGCUCAUUUCUAGCCAGUUGUUUUGCAAGGUCUGCAUCCUACAACUAAAAGGAAAUUUUGUUGUCCUGGUCACUUGAAAGUAUUCAAACAAGCAAAUGGAAGAAAACACUGGAUUUGCUCAUGGUACCAGUGUUGAAAGAUUGUUACUCGGUUGCUUGUGUAUGCUCAGCUCCUUGGGGUUUCCGACACUGUGGUCCUGGACAGCCUUAAGUAGGUGCACUGGCACACUCACAUGCAUUUUUAAAGCUCCACUAUCGCUGAACGUGAGCACACCAUCCAUACUUGAAAUCCAUACCAGUUUGCUCAAUGUCUCAACCUGUAAAACCUUCAAAUAACAACAUACCAAGGAGCCAGAUGGUCACUAAUUCCUGUUCUACAAUUUAUUCAAGCCUCACUUCUUGGGUGAAGUAGAAAACAGGCAGACAGGUUUAUACAUUGAUGUCCAAGAACCAGACAGUCCUGCACAGACACUAGUGGCAUUUUGUUUCCAUUUCCAGGAAAGGAAGCAAGGUUGUGCAAUGUGGAGUGAAGUCCUCCUCAGCAGUAAAGCCAUGCUCUAGGUUGAGUAAGUCAGUUAAGAGCACCAUACUGCCAUACUGAAAACAUCUGCUUAGAGUUAUUUACAAGUGGUUGGCUAUUUUUUGUUGAAGUAUUUUUUGAAUAGCGAAUGUCUUUUUCCUUCAAAUUUCUGUCAUUCUCCCAAGGCCCCCUCCUCCUGCAGCCAGAGAUUACAGGUGGUUUUGUUUCUCCCUCCUUCCCUGUGUGUGUGUGUGUGUGUGUGUGUGUGUGUGUGUGUGUGUGUGUGUGUGUAGUCAACUCCUCUAUUCACAAGCUAGUAAAGCUAUCUACUUUUAUUCCUGUCCAGGUAUUUCUUGUAAGAUGAUAUAAUGCAGAAAUUCUUGUGCAUACUCUGUAACUGAAGGAGGCUUUUUUGAUUUAUUUUUGUCUUUAAUAAAAUUCAGAUUGUUAUUUCAGGCUGGUAUGUAGGAAUGGUAGCUGGCUUCUCUACACGACGACUGAGCUGUGGGUUUGCCCAGUGGUAUUUACCUCAUGCAGACCAAUAGCUGAAUCACCAGUUUCCUAGCAUACUCAGUACAGUGUACCAUAGUCAUGCCAGAGACUGAAUCAUCGGACUGAGAGUCGGCUUAGCAGUUAAGAGCACUCAUGUGGAGGACUAGGGUUCUGUUCCCAGCACCCGCAUGGAGACUCCCAACUCUCUGCAACUCCAGUUCCGGGGUGGUCUGACUCCUUAUGUUCCUGAUGGUUCUUGUAAGCACAUGGUGCAUAUAUACUCAGACGAGCGUGCGCGCGCGCACACACACACACACACACACACACACACGUGAGAAAAAAAAAGUCCUCUUUAUUUUUUCAUGGGCCUUCAUUUUUAUGGAGUACAGCAUAAAAGUGACUGACUUAUCAUUGCAAACUUCUUAAUGUUUUUUCUAAGCUACAGUAACCAUUUUGCUUUUAUAUCAAGUAACCCCCCCCCCCGCUUAUAGAUAACCACAUAUUUUUACUAUCUAUCCAUUAGUUUCCUCGUUGCUUCAGUAUUGAUAAGCUACUGUUACUAAUGACAAGUUCAUGUCAGCCCCACCAUAGAAGCCCCUGUAAGAUGCUGAAGGCGGGGGUUGCUAAGCAUUGGCCCCUGAAUCUGCUCUUCUACCAGCUCCAUCUGUGUAGGUGGAGUCACUUGUGUGAGAACUGCCCACUCAUCAGCAGAGGAAACAUUUCUACACCUCCUCAACCCAGAUAUCUGCUCGGAAUGACUGCGAUGUUGUGAAGGCCCCCUGUGAAUUGGAGGGCUUCAGUGUUGGCACUCACUCACUUGGAAUUCCUUCUUCCAUCUGAGAGACAAAAUGCCCAAAAUGAAGUACAAGUACUGGGCCAACUGACAGAAGAUCCACCCGGCACACAGGAAGUGAGCUCUGGUCUGAACUUUUGUCAUCUUUGUGGUGGUGGUAUUUUUGUUUCUGUCUACUAGGAAGUCAUAUUUAAUUAAGGCGUAAUUUAUGUACAAUAAACUUCAUUCAUUUCAAAGUG
Mus musculus (house mouse) is the source of this 6270-nucleotide RNA transcript. It is a transcript of the gene named mitogen-activated protein kinase kinase kinase 7, with no coding region annotated. NCBI's taxonomy places the organism in Eukaryota, Metazoa, Chordata, Mammalia, Rodentia, Muridae. The record is from RefSeq and is marked validated. The transcript is spliced from 17 exons.